Molecule: ribosomal RNA, 452 nt
Filed under: uncultured bacterium
Lineage: Bacteria
Description: bacterial SSU rRNA
Rfam family: Bacterial small subunit ribosomal RNA
Source: RNAcentral
AGCGAACGCUGGCGGCAGGCUUAACACAUGCAAGUCGAACGCCCCGCAAGGGGAGUGGCAGACGGGUGAGUAACACGUGGGAACGUACCCUUUGGUUCGGAAUAACUCAGGGAAACUUGAGCUAAUACCGGAUAAGCCCUUAUGGGGAAAGAUUUAUCGCCGAAGGAUCGGCCCGCGUCCGAUUAGCUAGUUGGUGAGGUAAUGGCUCACCAAGGCGACGAUCGGUAGCUGGUCUGAGAGGAUGAUCAGCCACACUGGGACUGAGACACGGCCCAGACUCCUACGGGAGGCAGCAGUAGGGAAUAUUGGGCAAUGGGCGAAAGCCUGACCCAGCCAUGCCGCGUGAAGGAAGACGGCCUUAUGGGUUGUAAACUUCUUUACUACGCGAAUAGAGGUUAGUACGAGAUACUAAUAGGAAGGUAGUGUAGUAAAAAGCACCGGCUAACUCCGUG